GGAUUCCCCUAGUAACUGCGAGUGAAGCGGGAAGAGCUCAAAUUUAAAAUCUGGCGUGCCUCUGGUCGUCCGAAUUGUAGUCUGGAGAAGCGUUUUCCGUGUUGGACCGUGUAUAAGUCUCUUGGAACAGGGCGUCGUAGAGGGUGAGAAUCCCGUCUUUGACACGGACUACCAAUGCUUUGUGAUGCGCUCUCAAAGAGUCGAGUUGUUUGGGAAUGCAGCUCAAAAUGGGUGGUAAAUUCCAUCUAAAGCUAAAUAUAGGCGAGAGACCGAUAGCGAACAAGUACCGUGAGGGAAAGAUGAAAAGCACUUUGGAAAGAGAGUUAAACAGUACGUGAAAUUGCUGAAAGGGAAACGCUUGAAGUCAGUCGUGUCUGCCAGGACUCAGCCUCGCUUCUGCUUGGUGCACUUUCUGGUCGGAUGGGCCAACAUCAAUUUUGACCGUUGGAGAAAGGCUUUGGGAACGUGGCACUUUCGGGUGUGUUAUAGCCCUUUGUCGUAUGCAACGGUUGGGAUUGAGGACUGCAGCACGCCUUCAUGGCCGGGGUUCGCCCACGUACGUGCUUAGGAUGUUGGCAUAAUGGCUUUAAGCGACCCGUCUUGAAACACGGACCAAGGAGUCUAACAUGCCUGCGAGUGUUUGGGUGGAAAACCCAUGCGCGUAAUGAAAGUGACAGCUGAGAUCCUCUCAUCAGGAGCAUCAGCGCCUGGACUUGAUCUACGGAGACGGUUCUACGGUAGAGCAUGUAUGUUGGGACCCGAAAGAUGGUGAACUAUGCCUGAAUAGGGUGAAGCCAGAGGAAACUCUGGUGGAGGCUCGUAGCGAUUCUGACGU
RNAcentral lists this ribosomal RNA (835 nucleotides) under uncultured Tomentella. RNAcentral describes it as "eukaryotic LSU rRNA". It matches the Rfam family "Eukaryotic large subunit ribosomal RNA", at positions 72 to 892 of the family's 3401-position model. Lineage: Eukaryota; Fungi; Basidiomycota; Agaricomycetes; Thelephorales; Thelephoraceae. The record is from RNAcentral.